AUGCGUGUAUAUCAGAACGAAUAACGCACUGGUAGUUAACAAAUAUAAACAUAAUUUAACUGACUAAAAUUUUAAUAUAAUUGUUAGUCCAACACAGGUAUGCAACUAGGGAAAGAUUAAAAGAAGUAAAAGGAACUCGGC
RNAcentral lists this ribosomal RNA (141 nucleotides) under Myotis evotis (long-eared Myotis). Its description in RNAcentral is "partial 16S ribosomal RNA". Lineage: Eukaryota; Metazoa; Chordata; Mammalia; Chiroptera; Vespertilionidae. The record is from RNAcentral.